UACGGGGGGGGCAAGCGUUGUUCGGAAUUACUGGGCGUAAAGGGCUCGUAGGCGGCCAACUAAGUCGGAUGUGAAAUCCCCAGGCUCAACUUGGGAACUGCAUCCGAUACUGGAUGGCUUGAAUUCGGGAGAGGGAUGCAGAAUUCCAGGUGUAGCGGUGAAAUGCGUAGAUAUCUGGAGGAAUACCAAUGGCGAAGGCAGCUCGCUGGGACGUGACUGACGCUGAGACGCGAAAGCGUGGGGAGCAAACAGG
This 253-nucleotide ribosomal RNA is filed under the name uncultured bacterium. Its description in RNAcentral is "partial 16S ribosomal RNA". It matches the Rfam family "Bacterial small subunit ribosomal RNA", at positions 524 to 776 of the family's 1533-position model. The record is from RNAcentral.